RNAcentral lists this long non-coding RNA (469 nucleotides) under Monodelphis domestica (gray short-tailed opossum). RNAcentral's name for it is "lncRNA (ENSMODG00000051020.1)". Lineage: Eukaryota; Metazoa; Chordata; Mammalia; Didelphimorphia; Didelphidae. The record is from RNAcentral.
CCUGGGUUAGAACACACACACACACACACACACACACACACACAUACACACAUACACACACACACACACACAUUACCACCACCACCAACAACAACAACAACAACUCUUUUCAAAUACCACUAGUAAUUUUGCUUGACUUAAUGAGAGAAAGGAUAAAAACCCACUUUGGAACUGAAAUGUGGGUCUGCUAAUUGAGAACUGUAUUCUCUUUAAGAAGAUCAGUAUCCAAGUAUUUCCCCAACUAGAAGAUCACCCAUCCCAGGAAGAGAAGGUGAGAGGCUGAGCCAUUUCCAAGCAUUGAACUUUUCUGUCAAGGUGAUCAUGGGGUCCUAUGUAGUAAAACCAUUCCCAGAACAGAGUCAGAGAAAGCUUAGAGGAGGAAGAGAAUGCAGCAGGGGAAAAGAUUGAGUCAAAGGGCACAUCCACAUAGAAGGGUAGUGAGGCAUCAAUAAAAUCAUAUCCAACUGCA